AGACCCACCGGCAGACAGGCGGACCGGGCGCUCGGCUGUCGCUGUUCUCCGCGCGGCGGCUGCGGGGCUUCUGACUUGGAGAACAAUGAAGCGUGAGCUGGAGGGGAGCGAGCGGGCCGCCGGGAGCGCACUGUGUACAAACAGAGGCGGCGUGCGUAGCCUUUGGAAGGAAUUGGGCCAUGAGAAGAGCCCUCAUGAAUGGGAUUAGUUCCCUUAUAAGAAGAGACACCAAGGAAGUGAUCUUUCUCUGCCCUCUGCUAUGUGAAGACAAGGUCAUCUGCAGUUUUUUGUUGUUGUUGAUGAUCUUCCUGUCAUAGACAAUGCUGUAACAAACAGACUAAUUGUUCACUGUUGACAUAUAGAAGUACUACUGAUUGGCCAGACAUAGUGGCUCAUGCCUGGAAUCCCAGCACUUUGGGAGGCCAAGGCAGGUGGAUCACUUGAGCCCAGAAGUUUGAGACCAGCCUGGGCAACAUGAUGAAACCCCAUCUCUACAAAAUAAAUAGAAAAAUUAGCUGGGUAUGGUGGCAUGUGCCAGUAGUCCCAGCUACAUGGGAGCCUGAGGUGGGAGGACGACUUGAGCCCAGGAGGUGGAGGUUACAGUGAGCUGAGAUCAUGCCACUGCACUCCAGCCUGGGUGACAGAGUGGGACUCUGUCUAAAAAAAAAAUUGUAUUAUCUGUAAACGGAAA
This 691-nucleotide long non-coding RNA is filed under the name Homo sapiens (human). RNAcentral describes it as "non-protein coding lnc-VCAN-1:22". The record is from RNAcentral. Lineage: Eukaryota; Metazoa; Chordata; Mammalia; Primates; Hominidae.